Molecule: ribosomal RNA, 301 nt
Filed under: uncultured bacterium
Lineage: Bacteria
Description: partial 16S ribosomal RNA
Rfam family: Bacterial small subunit ribosomal RNA
Source: RNAcentral
CAGCCGCCACGGGAAUACGUAGGGUGCAAGCGUUAAUCGGAAUUACUGGGCGUAAAGCGUGCGCAGGCGGUUAUAUAAGUCAGAUGUGAAAUCCCCGGGCUCAACCUGGGAACUGCAUUUGAGACUGUAUGGCUAGAGUGUGUCAGAGGAUGGUGGAAUUCCCGGUGUAGCGGUGAAAUGCGUAGAGAUCGGGAGGAACAUCAGUGGCGAAGGCGGCCAUCUGGGACAACACUGACGCUGAGGCACGAAAGCGUGGGGAGCAAACAGGAUUAGAUACCCGUGUAGUCCCUGUCUCUUAUAC